UUUUUUUUGUUAUCUUUUAUACCGUUAUUAUUGAGAUAAUCAAUGUUUCUGUUCUUUGAUAUUGUAUGGGCUUUACUGCACGUUUUGAAUAUCUACUGAUCGAGAUACAAUAGUUUUUCUAGUGACAAAUUAGAUUUAUAUAUUCCGCCAUAAUGGUUUCAUUGUUAGACGAAACUAAAGUUUAAAAGUUUACACCAGGACCAGGAUUAAACUGAAUGUCAAAAUAUUUUGUUAUGUCAAUGCUUUAUUCCAAAGGUAUGUCCAGAGACCAUUUAUUAAAGCCAAGUAAUGACAUCAUAAAGAAAAUCCCACACCCGGAGGUAGUUCUCAGUUGUCUCCUAAAUAAAAUUGUGUACUAAGUCAGCUAAAAUGA
Molecule: long non-coding RNA, 373 nt
Filed under: Mytilus galloprovincialis (Mediterranean mussel)
Lineage: Eukaryota; Metazoa; Mollusca; Bivalvia; Mytilida; Mytilidae
Source: RNAcentral